AUUGUUUUUGCUCCUCUUCUUGCCGACACCAAUGUGUGUGUGUAUAUAGUUAAUUUCCAUAGCAAAAAGCCUCCUUUUUCCAUCUUUUUCUCCCCCAAAAGUUGCUGCCAAUGUGUCUAUAUAUAUGUCAAUUAAAUCCCCAGGCAGCCUGUGCGUGUCUUGUCUUUUAAUUUCCAGCAAUGCCAAAAAUUCUGCCUCUUUCCUUUCCCACCAGCUGCUGAAUUUUUUCUAAUGUGUCUCCAGCCACUUCUGCCGUCUAAUGUGUG
This 266-nucleotide long non-coding RNA is filed under the name Olea europaea (common olive). Its description in RNAcentral is "long non-coding RNA (OEUR_LNC009873)". The record is from RNAcentral. Lineage: Eukaryota; Viridiplantae; Streptophyta; Magnoliopsida; Lamiales; Oleaceae.